GACGAACGCUGGCGGCGUGCUUAACACAUGCAAGUCGAACGGAAAGGCCCUGCUUUUGUGGGGUGCUCGAGUGGCGAACGGGUGAGUAACACGUGAGUAACCUGCCCUUGACUUUGGGAUAACUUCAGGAAACUGGGGCUAAUACCGGAUAGGAGCUCCUGCUGCAUGGUGGGGGUUGGAAAGUUUCGGCGGUUGGGGAGGGACUCGCGGCUUAGCAGCGUGUUGGUGGGGUAGUGGCUUACCAAGGCUUUGCCGGGUAGCCGGCCCGAGCGGGGGACCGGCGACAGUGGGACUGAGAGACGGCCCAGACUCCUACGGGAGGCAGCAGUGGGGAAUAUUGCACAAUGGGCGGAAGCCUGAUGCAGCAACGCCGCGUGCGGGAUGACGGCCUUCGGGUUGUAAACCGCUUUCGCCUGUGACGAAGCGUGAGUGACGGUAAUGGGUAAAGAAGCACCGGCUAACUACGUG
This 468-nucleotide ribosomal RNA is filed under the name uncultured bacterium. RNAcentral describes it as "partial 16S ribosomal RNA". It matches the Rfam family "Bacterial small subunit ribosomal RNA", at positions 28 to 507 of the family's 1533-position model. The record is from RNAcentral.